RNAcentral lists this ribosomal RNA (254 nucleotides) under uncultured bacterium. Its description in RNAcentral is "partial 16S ribosomal RNA". It matches the Rfam family "Bacterial small subunit ribosomal RNA", at positions 524 to 776 of the family's 1533-position model. The record is from RNAcentral.
UACGGGGGGGGCAAGCGUUUGUUCGGAAUUACUGGGCGUAAAGGGCUCGUAGGCGGCCAACUAAGUCGGAUGUGAAAUCCCCAGGCUUAACCUGGGAACUGCAUCCGAUACUGGAUGGCUUGAAUCCGGGAGAGGGAUGCAGAAUUCCAGGUGUAGCGGUGAAAUGCGUAGAUAUCUGGAGGAAUACCGGUGGCGAAGGCGGCAUCCUGGACCGGCAUUGACGCUGAUGAGCGAAAGCUAGGGGAGCAAACGGG